This is a small nuclear RNA of Elaeis guineensis (African oil palm), 98 nucleotides long. The record is from RefSeq and is a predicted model, not a curated record. NCBI's taxonomy places the organism in Eukaryota, Viridiplantae, Streptophyta, Magnoliopsida, Arecales, Arecaceae.
UCCUUUUGGAGGUGUCCAAUAAGAUUGGAAUGAUACAGUGAGGAUAGGCACGGCUGACAAGGAUAACACGCACAAAUUGAGAAAUGGUCCAACUCUUU